AUUUGGGCAUUUGCUGCUUCGGUGACUGAGGGGAAAAAAUGCUCAUGGUUAAAUUAUGGGAGUUCUAUGUUUGAGGUCAGUCGGUCUAAGGAUAUAUUAGUGAAUAAACCUUGGUGAUUAUUGGAGUUAAACAGUAAAUUAAAAACUGAAUGUGAGACAAAAUAGCAAAUUUCUUAGAUUUCAGUUAGUGACUACUUUUGGUUUCCAACAGCCUCAAUAUUUCUCUGUAGACUAUUAACC
Molecule: non-coding RNA, 240 nt
Organism: Pelobates cultripes (western spadefoot toad)
Lineage: Eukaryota; Metazoa; Chordata; Amphibia; Anura; Pelobatidae
Source: the annotation of a GenBank genome assembly